GGAGAGGUGGCCGAGUGAUUUAGGCGGCGAUCUUGAAAACCGCUUCCCGCUUCCGCGGGACGUGGGUUCCCUGCCUGACUGCUGCGAGGCAGGCAGGGAAUCCCACCCCCUUCG
Molecule: transfer RNA, 114 nt
Filed under: Calditrichota bacterium
Lineage: Bacteria; Pseudomonadati; Calditrichota
Description: Calditrichaeota bacterium (hydrothermal vent metagenome) tRNA-Ser
Source: RNAcentral